CGGGUGAGUAAUGCGUAGGGAGCUACCCGAUAGAGGGGGAUACCAGUUGGAAACGACUGUUAAUACCGCAUAAUGUCUACGGACCAAAGUGUGGGACCUUCGGGCCACAUGCUAUCGGAUGCGCCUACGUGGGAUUAGCUAGUUGGUGAGGUAAUGGCUCACCAAGGCGACGAUCUCUAGCUGGUUUGAGAGGAUGAUCAGCCACACUGGAACUGAGACACGGCCCAGACUCCUACGGGAGGCAGCAGUGGGGAAUAUUGGGCAAUAAGGGAAAGCCUGACCCAGCGACGCCGCGUGCGGGAUUAAGACGGUCGGGUUGUAAACCGCUUCAGCAGGGAAGAAGCGAAA
This 348-nucleotide ribosomal RNA is filed under the name uncultured bacterium. RNAcentral's name for it is "bacterial SSU rRNA". It matches the Rfam family "Bacterial small subunit ribosomal RNA", at positions 103 to 455 of the family's 1533-position model. The record is from RNAcentral.